RNAcentral lists this ribosomal RNA (509 nucleotides) under uncultured bacterium. RNAcentral describes it as "bacterial SSU rRNA". It matches the Rfam family "Bacterial small subunit ribosomal RNA", at positions 43 to 507 of the family's 1533-position model. The record is from RNAcentral.
CGUGCCUAAUACAUGCAAGUCGAACGCAUUGUGGUUGAAAUGAUAUGAAGAACUUGUUCAGAUUUGAUUUCAACAUUGCAAUGAGUGGCGAACGGGUGAGUAACACGUGGGAAACCUACCUCUUAGCAGGGGAUAACAUUUGGAAACAAAUGCUAAUACCGUAUAAUAAUUAAAACCGCAUGGUUUUAGUUUAAAAGAUGGUCUUGCUAUCACUAAGAGAUGGUCCCGCGGUGUAUUAGUUAGUUGGUGAGGUAAUGGCUCACCAAGACAAUGAUACAUAGCCGAGUUGAGAGACUGACCGGCCACAAUGGGACUGAGACACGGCCCAUACUCCUACGGGAGGCAGCAGUAGGGAAUCUUCCACAAUGGACGAAAGUCUGAUGGAGCAACGCCGCGUGUGUGAUGAAGGGUUUCGGCUCGUAAAACACUGUUGUAAGAGAAGAAUGACAUUGAGAGUAACUGUUCAAUGUGUGACGGUAUCUUACCAGAAAGGAACGGCUAAAUACGUG